UGGUGGCAAUUCUAGAGCUAAUACAUGGCACGAAUGGCUCCGACUUUUGGACGAGCGCAUCUAUUAGAUUAAAACCAAUCGGGUCUAAUGUUUCUGUUAGGCCCGUAAAUUGGUGACUCUGAAUAGCUCUUGCUGAUCGCAUGGUCUUGUACCGGCGACGUAUCUAUCAAGUGUCUGCCUUAUCAACUUUCGAUGGUAGUUUAUGUGCCUACCAUGGUUGUAACGGGUAACGGAGAAUAAGGGUUCGACUCCGGAGAGGGAGCCUGAGAAACGGCUACCACAUCCAAGGAAGGCAGCAGGCGCGCAAAUUACCCACUCUCGGAAUGAGGAGGUAGUGACGAAAAAUAACGAGACCGUUCUCUCUGAGGCCGGUUAUCGGAAUGGGUACAAUUUAAACCCGUUAACGAGGAUCUAUGAGAGGGCAAGUCUGGUGCCAGCAGCCGCGGUAAUUCCAGCUCUCAAAGUGUAUAUCGUCAUUGCUGCGGUUAAAAAGCUCGUAGUUGGAUCUUCGUCUAAGGACUCGGUCCGUUCAUUGGACGCGAACUGGGCUCCUAGACUAUUGAUGCCAGUCGUUCCCUACGUUACCUUUAUCGGUUGCGUAGGGUGGCCGGCAAGUUUACCUUGAAAAAAUUAGAGUGCUCAAUGCGGGCUGAUGCCUGAAUACUCGUGCAUGGAAUAAUGAAAUAGGAUCUCGGUUCUAUUUUGUUGGUUUUCUGAAUUGAGAUAAUGGUUAAGAGGGACGGACGGGGGCAUUCGUAUCGCUGCGUGAGAGGUGAAAUUCUUGGACCGUAGCGAGACGUCCGACUGCGAAAGCAUUUGCCAAGAAUGUCUUCAUUAAUCAAGA
This 844-nucleotide ribosomal RNA is filed under the name Nematoda sp. 1 JHM-2017. RNAcentral describes it as "bacterial SSU rRNA". It matches the Rfam family "Eukaryotic small subunit ribosomal RNA", at positions 147 to 982 of the family's 1831-position model. Lineage: Eukaryota; Metazoa; Nematoda. The record is from RNAcentral.